GAGGAGUUUGAUGGCUCCAGAGGGGUUGUGGGUUAGAAAGUGAUGCUGAAGGAGGAUCUGGUGUUGGGAAGCAUCUGGGAUUGGACACCCACAAGCCAAAUUUUGGCUCCUAAACUGUGACUUUGCUGCUUUCCUGUAUCCUGAGGAUCAGCUGUGUUAAAUAUCUCCCAUCUCCUUCCCUAGCAGAAGAUGUCCCUGCCCGUGACAGGGGGUUAGAACCAGAUGGUUUUUGUGGUUCCUUCCAACCCAAACCAUUCUGGGAUUCUAUGAUUCUGACCUAUGACAGAAAUACCAUCCCAAAAAAUCAAUCUGAUCUCCAUUUUUCCAUCAAACAGCUAAAAAUCAUGAGUUUGGAGUGCCUCCUUUUGCCCUGGGGUUCUCUCUGGAGACAGGUGAAGUCCCAGGGAACCUACACAGAGUUUCCUAGAGCAGAGAUCUUGGGAUGGGAUGGGAUGGGAUGGGAUGGGAUGGGAUGGGAUGGGAUGGGAUGGGAUGGGAUGGGAUGGGAUGGGAUGGGAUGGGGCUGUCCCAGACACCUGCAGGACAUUUGGGGCUCCCCUGGAGACAGUGGAAUGUUGGUGAUAGAAGCCUCCCAUGAGGUCACACAGCCCCCUGAGGGGUCACACAGCUCCCAAGGGGUCACACAGCCGGUCUCUGGUGUGCAGUGUGAGGCUUCAGUGGCCUCAUCAUGACGUGGACACGAUGGGCCAUGGUCACCAUCGUCCUUCUGGCUCUCCAGAGAGCCCUGACCGUCCUGGUGUCUCUGGUGAUCCUGCUAUCCCUGGCAGCCCUGCUAGCCCCCAGGGCCCAGCCCCUCAUGGAGGAGGCAGCCGUGGCUGGAGGCAGUGGAGAUCCAGGUGCUGGAUCUGACUCUCCUGGAUCCUACGUGGCUUUUGAUUUGUUUUGGGAAGUGCCAGAUCAAGGCCCAAAUGUGAGCGAGGCAUCUCCUGCAGGUCUGAAGAAUGAAACUAGAUUGGGAAACAUUUCCUGGCCAUUAAUGGAACAGUCUGAAUUAAUGACUUUACUGAAGGAAACACUUCCAGUGCUGGAGCCUGAGCCUGUGGACAAGGAGACACCUCAGGAAGACCAUCAGGAAGAGCCAGUCCCUGAGGGAAACAGUGAGGCCCUUCAGCCAACAGGUGUAUUCAAGAGAUUCAGCAGUGCUGAGGACAACAAGACAGGUCCAAACACUGUGGAGGACAUGGAAAACACAGGCACAGUGGAUGCUAAAAUCACCUGGAGUAUUUUUAUAAGAGCCUUCCUCGUGUCUGUGGUCUGCAGCCUGAUUGUUCUGCUGCUUCUCAGGGUGGCCCCUGCAUGGGCAAAGGACAUAAAAAAGCGCCUCGCAGCUUUGAGAGCCAAUUCUGAGCUCCUGGACAAUGAGACUGAAGACAAGGAAUUAGUGGUAGAAGUCUAAAUAAAGAUAAGCAGCACAGUGGUGUGUGUGAAAGUUUUGGGUUGGAAGGAAUUCUUGCUCUCUGCUCCCUUGUCUGGAGCCUCCACAUCAUGCAAGACCCAGCCCCAUUAGAUCAGGUCCAGAGAAGGCCA
Long non-coding RNA from Parus major (Great Tit), 1548 nucleotides. Ensembl lists it as uncharacterized. The record is from Ensembl. NCBI's taxonomy places the organism in Eukaryota, Metazoa, Chordata, Aves, Passeriformes, Paridae.